GCGACAUGGCCAAGUGGUAAGGCAGAAGCCUGCAAAGCUUUUAUCCCCCGGUUCGAAUCCGGGUGUCG
Molecule: transfer RNA, 68 nt
Filed under: chicken gut metagenome
Rfam family: tRNA
About the family: Transfer RNA (tRNA) molecules are approximately 80 nucleotides in length. Their secondary structure includes four short double-helical elements and three loops (D, anti-codon, and T loops).
Source: RNAcentral